UUUGGGAUAUUAGGUAAGUUUUAGGUAUGUCGCAUACCACAGUCACUCCCAAGCACAUGUUGGCCGUGUCUCGAAUGAAUAUAGUUGGCCAGACUAUAUUGACCCUAGACACGACUACAUAACUGCCCAGGUUUAACCGCAACGUACAACACCCAUUUACUUAUGUUUUGUUCUACUUAUAGUUACGGAUUUCGACGGCUCGGCAUACUUAAAUACUUUUGAAAAUACUUAUAUAUUGUGGGAUACUUUUAGUUCAGAGCACUUAGGCCCCUUAAUGUUUAUAGUCUUAUACCAUGUAAGGUUUGGUAUACUCUUUUCACUAUAAACAAGGGCUCUGAUACCAAUCUGUCACACCCCGAAAACCAAAGGCGGAAACGUUCCCGGGGUUGACUCCACGUUGAGUAUCAAAUCCAAUGUACAUAGUAAUCACAGUAAACAACCAUUACAUUACAUAUAUAUGAAAGUUUACAUUUGGUUCAAAAGUAAAUUGUACAAAAGUUAUACAUAUAUCAUAUGAACAAAAGAGACGAGUCUUCAGAGCACUCCGUCUUCACCAAAAGAUAUCGCCGGGUACCUGUCUAACUUGGACCUGAGAAUACAAGCAGUUUGAAAAUCAGCAUAAAGCUGGUGAGUUCAUAAGCGGUUUUGUUUUGUGAAAAUGUAUCGAUUUCCUUUAGUUUUCUGAAAAGAUUUGAUAUCCAAGAAAAUCCCAUAUUUUCUUAUGUAAAGUAGUUAAGUUAUCUUUCGUUACAGUUCUGUUACAAGAUAUAAGUUAACCCCAGGAAAAUCCCAUAUUUUCCUAAAUGCAAGAUUGAUUGAAUAACACAUAGUAUAGUUUAAUAUACAAAACUAUAAUUUAGACGAACUGUAGAUAGAAAGUAUUUUGAAAACCUUGGGACUAACAUCCCGAACCAGUUAUAAGAUAAUUCGAUAAAGACCAUGGGAUCACUAUCCCGAAAAUAGAUAUAAGAUAGCUUGAUAAACCAUGGGAUCACUAUCCCGAAACUAGAUAUAUGAUAGAUUGAUAAAAUCAUGGGAUUAUCAUCCCGUAUAAGAUUUAGUUUCAAAACCAUGGGAUUACCAUCCCGAACGAGAUAUAGACACAAGAUCAUGGGAUUAUCAUCCCGAACGAGAUAUAGACAUAAAACCAUGGGAUUACCAUCCCGAACGAGAUAUAGAUACAAGACCAUGGGAUUAUCAUCCCGAACAAGAUAUAGAUUCUAAACAAAAUCCUAGCUGUGAAUAAGUUUAUAUUAAUACGUAUUGUGAGUCGGGUAACCAUGCUGAUAUGACAACGAGACCUCCUUGACGUUAGUCAGACGUCGAAUGAUAUACAGAAUUUGUCACCCCAGGCGUGCCCGCCUAACUGUAGCUAGCAGUUAAGGUGUGGGAUUGUCAGUCCCGAAUAGAUCUAUUCACAAAUUCCUCGCUCUCCCUCCAGGAGACUCUGGUUACACUUCCGGAGAGGAUUUACUUGAUCAUCCAUAAAGGGUAGUGACUAUCUCACAAGCUAGUAUUAAACUAUUCACAGGAUUCUCAUACGAUACCAAACAUACAAAGAUUUCAAGACAUGAUACAGUGAAAAUAGUUACAUACAGGAAACUAUCUGGCAAUACAUUCAAAUGAUACGGAGAUAAACUGAAUCAGACAUAGUUUAUCAAAUAACUUUAUACAGAUAUCAGUACAUGAUAUAAAGAGAAUUAUAGAACCCCAAAUUAUUCCCAUAAUAAUUUGAUUAGUUUGGUUAUUUUCUUAACUAAAAUCCAUUUAGUUGAAAUCGAUAAAUCAUUCCUUAUGCUCAACAUAAUACAUAAGGAGUAAAAGAGUUUAUAAGUUUGCCAGAUAUUAUUUGAAACACAUAAAUGUUAUGAUUUGAAAACAGUUUUGGUUUGCUUGUAUUCCCCCCCUGAAAACAGUUAAAAACAGUGAAAAAGGCGUAGGGGUAUGAACUCACCGGACGAGAAGUAUGACGAUUUGGAUGCUAAGAGUUGAUCCGGGGCUUGUAAAUACACGAGGUUCCUAAUUAUAAUGUAAAGAUACACAUUUGUAUCUAAUUAGGACUUAGUUUAUUUAUAUGAUAGGGACACUUGCUUCAAGUCGCGAAAACACUCCGAUACAAGUGUUUGGAGGGACCCGGGUGGCGUUUAAGGACGUGAAAUGACACUAGGGACUUGGGACUUGAGUUUACUCCCCAUGAGUAAACUAAUAUAAGAGUUUUGGUCUAAAACCACCCAUUCCCCAUGAGUUUACGGCCGUAAACUCAUGGUGGGUGUGGUUUAAGGUGCUAAAUGACUUCUAACACUUAGGGGAUAAUUUCUAGACUUGGUUUAAGGACUUGAAAGGAUUUUAAAACAUAAAAUAGACCCACUUAUGGGAGUUUACGGCCUAGCAUGGCUCCAUGGCCGUAAACUCCUAUUUUUCCAAGAAAAUGAUGUUAAAUGGAGCUAGAACAAAUCACAUGUGAUUAAUAGAAUUAUUUCAAGGCCUAUUAUGAGUUUGCAAGGGACAUUUGAGGAGUUUAUGGAGUUUACGGCCCAUGAGACCCCCUCAUGGCCGUAAACUCAUUUAUAGGGUGCUACAAGAUGUUUCAAGGUCUAAAACUUGCAUGGAAGGACUUCUAAAAUUCAUCUAAGGGCCUUAGGGGUGUUUAGUUUGCAUUCUAACACCAAAAAUCAUGGAGUUUACGGCCCAAGAACAAGCCUUGGCCGUAAACUCUUAAAAAUCCCACAAAUAGUGUGUUUAAGGCCCUCAAACUAUUUUUGGUUGGUCCAUUGAUUUAUUCCAAGGCUUUUGGUGGUGUUGGAUGGCUUUCUAACACCUUAGAAUUGAAUUUAUGCCAAGUUUUGAGGAGUUUACGGCCCAAGCACAUGCCUUGGCCGUAAACUCACAUAAGUCCCCCAAAAAUCAUGUUUCAAGUGUCCAAAUGCUAAAACCAAGGUUCUAUAAUUCAUAUCUAAGCCAUACUAGUGAUUUGGAAGGGUUUAAGGGCAUGAAAAACCCCAUUUACAUGAGUUUACGGCCCAAGCUUAUGCCUUGGCCGUAAACUCCUUCAAAUGACUCAAAAUCAAAGUUUUAAAUGUUCUAAGUCCAUAUCUUGAAGUCCCUUAGCCAUAUCUAAAGUCCAAAUGAGUUUAGGAAGGAGUUUAAGGGCUUAAAACCCUUCAAAUUGGUGUUUACGGCCUAGGCAGCCUCCUGGGCCGUAAACUCACAUAUGAUGUCCCAUUUCAUGAUUAAAUGUCAAAUUUGGAAGCCAAAUAUGCUAUAGAUUAAGGCUAGGAAGGUACCUUAAGGAUUUGAGGCCUUAAAAUUGAGUUUUGGACCCUUAAUCUUUGGAUUUAGGAGAGAGGUUAGAGAGAGAGUAGAGAGAGAAGGAAAAAGCUUCAAAUGAUAGGUUAAACACGUUUAUAUAGUUCCUAAAACUUGGACACGGUGGAAUUCUACCCGAUACCGGCCUUAAACGAAGCUUUAGGUCGCACCCGAUUGAGUUUCCGUCACCCGACGAGGAUAUUUCUAAAACUUAUGAAAUAAAUGUUUUGGGCUAAAUUCAUGAGUUCCUAAAUGAUUUGGACCCUCAUUGAAUGAUAAUAAACAUAUAAUUUUAGUUAACUAAACCCAAAAACAAUAUCGGGACAUUUCGAUCUCCGACGAGUUAUACGGGUAGAAUGGGUUUUCGGCGAUGAACAACUUCGGGUUGUUACAUUAUCCCCCCGUUAGAGGGAAUUUCGUCCCGAAAUUCAAAGAAUAAGAUACUGAUCAUGGAUUGGAAUGAGAUACGAAUGGAUUUGUUGCCUCGGAUCUUCACUUUCUCAAGUGGAAUCAGGUCUCUACUGGGCGUUCUAACGAAUUCUCAUUAUCGGGACAUGCCUUGGUUUCGUACUUUGACUCUCUCUCAAUCUACUAUAUCAAUUUGUUUUCUCAUGGAAGUUCCAACCCUGGACGACUUCGGUUUCUUCAAGGAAUCACGAGGGUUUCGUUGGGCAGAUACUUCUAAGGAUUCGAGACGUGAUGGUUUAGAUAGAUGUUACCAAGCUCUAAGGGCAUCCAAAACUUGAAGGUUGCAGAAUCGAUCUCUACGAAGAUUUCGAAAGGCCUGAUGUGAGACUAAACUAGACGUUCGAAAGAAACUCCUGGAAAUCCUUCGGGAUAGACAUUUAGAGGAAAGAGCUGUUAACUUCCCGUUUCUCAAUAAUCACAGAAACGAGGGAUGCGUGGUAAUUCACAUUGGGAAAACUUUUGAGUUCUAAGGCAUAGAAUGAUACGAAAGUUUGAUGCCGAAGAUCACGAGAACAGGGCCGAGGAAAAAUCUAGACGAGCGACCCUUUCGAAAGUAAAGAUAACAACAUGAAUGAGACUCGGUCAUUUCUGGUUAAACAUGGCAUCAAAGUAUUUUCAUGGAAAGUUUCCCCCUUUAUAAAUCGAAUGGAACAGAAUAGUCCUCCGGACUGAGGAUUCAAUCUAUAGGUACGAACUUAGUGUUCUCUAUCUCACUAGUUAGUCGUCUCGACAGUACACGUUUCGAUUACAUACGAAGGAUUGAGUUUAGAAAAUGUUCGAAUAGAUAGAUAACAGGUUUCCCUUUUUGUACCAAAAUCGAAAAGAGUUGCAAGUAUAAGAAUUAUCAAAGAGAAAUAUACCUGCGGCAGCAGAGGGAUUUGUGGUUGUAGCUGUCUUGGGACAAUUCCUUUUGAAGUGCCUAGCUUCACCACAAUUGUAAUAGGCCGGACUGAUUCCCGCUCCGGAUGAUUGGUUCGUUGGCUUGGCUGGUUUUCUGCAGGUUCGAGCAAGAUGGCCCUUAUUUCCAUAGUUGUCACAAAUCCUUUCACGACAUGGACCAGGAAUGCAGUGGUGGUAGUUGCACUUACCACACCAAGGAAGGGUACCAGUGUAUCCACUGGUGGGAGUUUGGGAUGUGGAACCUACAGAUGAAACAGCAACAGGGGCAGUAGCAGCAUGGACUGCUACCGUUUGCUGUUUCUUAGAAGACCUUUGCGUACUCUGGGCCUUCCUCUUGUUCCAGGAUUUCUUUUUACUUCCGCCUCCACUAGUGACUGGCUCGGGGGUAGUAGCUUCUUCAUCAGAGUUGUCUUCAUGAUCUAUCAGGAUUUUCGCAAGACAUUUAGCACUGUCAUAUGUGUCUGGCUUCGCAGCUAAUACAUUCCCUUUUGUUGGCUGGGUCAACCCCCAGAUGAACCUCUCUAUCUUUUUACUCUCCGGGGUAACCAUUCCCGGACAAAGUAAUGCCAGAUCGUCGAAUCUUGAGGUAUAAGCAGCUAUGUCAGAACCCUUCAUCUUAAGGUUCCAAAGUUCGUGUUCUAGCUUCUGAAGUUCGCCCCGAGGGCAAUACUCUGCGAGAAGAAGCUCCUUCAUAGCUUCCCAACCCAUAGCAUUGGCUACAGGUAAAGUUAAGGAUUUGACUCGGCCAUUCCACCAAGUCAGGGCUUUGUCUAGGAAGGUACAGGCAGCAAACUUGACUCUAUCAGACUCCGAACAGCCACAUAUUUCAAAGAUUGAUUCGAUUCUCUCGAACCAUCGGGUUAAGGCAAUGACACCCCCUGUGCCAUCGAAGAAUGUCGGUUUUGCGUUCAUGAAGUCUUUAUAGGAACCCCCUUUUUGGUGUCCCUGGCUAUCAUCUGGGUUUUGGGUUUCACCUCCCGAACCCCUAGAGUUCAGUUGAGGUAAGAGAGCUGAUAUGGUAGCGGAAAUGGUUGCCUGAAGUGUUUCCAAAUCGAUCUGAAUAGGAGGUGGUGGCGGAGGAGGAUUGUUGUUGUUCGUUGAGCUGGGUCUCUUUCUUGGAGGCAUCUUGAUCUAAAAAGAUCAGGAAAGAGAGGAUCAUAAGUCCUCUGAAUUGAAUCAAGAGAUAUGGGACAGGAGAUAUCUCAUCAAGGCAAAUAUAGCAUCAUACAAAGCGAUAAAGCAGAAAGGAGUUAUCAAGAUAGAACAUUUUAUCGCUAGAGGAAUGAUUAAGGAAUAACGCGUAUACGAGAAUUUCUACAAAGGAUCGGCUCGAGAAAUACUCCCAUAGUAUUUCAUGGUUCGCUGCAGCGACGAUUCGUUGUUUGGGAUAUUAGGUAAGUUUUAGGUAUGCCGCAUGCCACAGUCACUCCCAAGCACAUGUUGGCCGUGUCUCGAAUGAAUAUAGUUGGCCAGGCUAUAUUGACCCUAGACACGACUACAUAACUGCCCAGGUUUAACCGCAGUGUACAACACCCAUUUACUUAUGUUUUGUUCUACUUAUAGUUACGGAUUUCGACGGCUCGGCAUACUUAAAUACUUUUGAAAAUACUUAUAUUUUGUAGGAUACUUUUAGUUCAGAGCACUUAGGCCCCUUAAUGUUUAUAGUUUUAUACCAUGUAAGGUUUGGUAUACUCUGUUCACUAUAAACAAGGGCUCUGAUACCAAUCUGUCACACCCCGAAAACCAAAGGCGGAAACGUUCCCGGGGUUGACUCCACGUUGAGUAUCAAAUCCAAUGUACAUAGUAAUCACAGUAAACAACCAUUACAUUACAUAUAUAUGAAAGUUUACAUUUGGUUCAAAAGUAAAUUGUACAAAAGUUAUACAUAUAUCAUAUGAACAAAAG
RNAcentral lists this long non-coding RNA (6579 nucleotides) under Lactuca sativa (garden lettuce). RNAcentral describes it as "long non-coding RNA (LSAT_LNC009457)". The record is from RNAcentral. Lineage: Eukaryota; Viridiplantae; Streptophyta; Magnoliopsida; Asterales; Asteraceae.